CCUGUCUCGGCCACGUUGCCUUCCCUCUGUUCGGAGAGGGCCCGGCAGAUCCCCCCGGUCUCCCUAAGUUUUACCCAGCCUGGCCUCUGACGUGUGAUUCUCCAUGAAGCCUCCCAAGCGGCUCGAAUGACAGCUGAGCACCAGCGAGCCUGGCAUGGACUGCCUGCCUCUCCUUCCUUGAUGUGACGGCAGUGACACAGGUCAGGUGUCCCACACCUACCAGGGCAAUGGCUCCAAGCAGAACAGUAAAUACAGCGAAGCCUCUGGAAUGAGACCCCAGAAGCGAAACCACGAAUCUCCGAAGAAAAGGAAAGAAAAGUAAAAACCUUCAGAAACCUGCUGCUUCUCCGGCCUGCGCUAGAAGAAACUCUCUCUGGAUUUCUCGGCUCCCAAGAAGCCCUCAGGCAGAAGCAUUUAUCAGAGCAGAGCUCAAUGCCUUGUGAGGACGGGGACGCAGCCGGGUCCCGCGUGCGGGGACAGGGACGCGACACGCGGGUGGAAGACACGUGCAGGGAUGGGAUGGUAAGGCACCACUCCUGAAGCUCAGGCCGCUCGCAGGGACGGGGCGAGCACCGCGCGUGCACUAGAGCGAGGCGGACGAACAA
Fukomys damarensis (Damara mole-rat) is the source of this 605-nucleotide long non-coding RNA. RefSeq lists it as uncharacterized. Lineage: Eukaryota; Metazoa; Chordata; Mammalia; Rodentia; Bathyergidae. The record is from RefSeq and is a predicted model, not a curated record. The transcript has 4 exons.